This 45-nucleotide non-coding RNA is filed under the name Schistosoma haematobium. Lineage: Eukaryota; Metazoa; Platyhelminthes; Trematoda; Strigeidida; Schistosomatidae. The record is from RNAcentral.
ACCCCGCUGAUGAGUCGCAAAUAUGAUGAAACGUGCGUCCUGGAU